AUGGCGAAGAAGGCCGCAAAGCGAGCUGUUGGUGAAGCAAGGGGUCGGGCAUAUGAGGACCUCUACCAACGGUUAGGCACAAAGGAAGGUGAAAGGGACAUCUAUAAGAUGGCUAAGAUCCGAGAGAGGAAGACGAGGGAUAUUGGCCAAGUCAAAUGCAUCAAGGACGGAGCAGGCCAACUCUUGGUGAAGGACGAAGAGAUUAAGCAUAGAUGGCGGGAGUACUUCGACAAGCUGUUCAAUGGGGAGAAUGAGAGUUCUACCAUUGAACUGAAUGACUCCUUUGAUGAGACCAGCAUGCGUUUUGUGCGGCGCAUCCAGGAGUCUGAGGUGAAGGAGGCUUUAAAAAGGAUGAAAGGAGGCAAGGCGAUGGGCCCUGAUUGUAUCCCCAUUGAGGUGUGGAAAGGUCUCGGGGACAUAGCGAUAGUAUGGCUAACCAAGCUUUUCAACCUCAUUUUUCGGGCAAACAAGAUGCCAAAAGAAUGGAGACGGAGUAUAUUAGUACCAAUCUUCAAGAACAAGGGGGAUGUUCAGAGUUGUACUAAUUACCGUGGAAUUAAGCUGAUGAGCCAUACAAUGAAGCUAUGGGAGAGAGUCAUUGAGCACCGCUUAAGGAGAAUGACAAGCGUGACCAAAAAUCAAUUUGGUUUCAUGCCUGGGAGGUCGACCAUGGAAGCCAUUUUCUUGGUACGACAACUUAUGGAGAGAUAUAGGGAGCAUAAGAAGGACUUGCAUAUGGUGUUCAUUGACUUGGAGAAGGCCUAUGAUAAGAUACCGCAGAAUGUCAUGUGGUGGGCCUUGGAGAAACACAAAGUCCCAGCAAAGUACAUUACCCUCAUCAAGGACAUGUACAAUAAUGUUGUGACAAGUGUUCGAACAAGUGAUGUCCACACCGAUGACUUCCCGAUUAAGAUAGGACUGCAUCAGGGGUCAGCUUUGAGCCCUUAUCUUUUUGCAUUGGUGAUGGAUGAGGUCACAAGGGGUAUACAAGGAGAUAUCCCAUGGUGUAUGCUCUUUGCGGACGAUGUGGUGCUAGUUGACGAUAGUCGGACGGGGGUAAAUAGGAAGUUAGAGUUAUGGAGACAAACCUUGGAAUCGAAAUGGUUUAGGCUUAGUAGAACUAAAACCGAGUACAUGAUGUGCGGUUUCAGUACUACUAGCUGUGAGGAGGAGGAGGUUAGCCUUGAUGGCCAGGUGGUACCUCGGAAGGACACCUUUCGGUAUUUGGGGUCAAUGUUGCAGGAGGAUGGGGGUAUUGAUGAAGAUGUGAACCAUCGAAUCAAAGCCGGAUGGAUGAAGUGGCGCCAAGCUUCUGGCAUUCUCUGUGACAAGAGAGUGCCACAAAAGCUAAAAGGCAAGUUCUACAGGACGGCGGUUCGACCCGCAAUGUUGUAUGGCGCGGAGUGUUGGUCGACUAAAAGGCGACAUGUUCAACAGUUAGGUGUGGUGGAGAUGCGUAUGUUGAGAUGGAUGUGUGGCCACACGAGGAAGGAUCGAGUCCGGAAUGAUGAUAUACGAGAUAGAGUUGGGGUAGCACCAAUUGAGGAGAAGCUUGUCCAACAUCGUUUGAGAUGGUUUGGGCAUAUUCAGCGCAGGCCUCCAGAAGCUCCAGUGCAUAGCGGAUGGCUAAAGCGUGCGGAGAAUGUCAAGAGAGGGCGGGGUCGACCGAUUUUGACAUGGGAGGAGUCCGUUAAGAGAGACCUGAAGGAUUGGAGUAUCGACAAAGAGCUAGCUAUGGACAGGGGUGCGUGGAAGCUUGCUAUCCAUGUGCCAGAGCCAUGA
RNAcentral lists this ribosomal RNA (1782 nucleotides) under Triticum aestivum (bread wheat). RNAcentral describes it as "partial small subunit ribosomal RNA". The record is from RNAcentral. Lineage: Eukaryota; Viridiplantae; Streptophyta; Magnoliopsida; Poales; Poaceae.